AGAGCGAACGCUGGCGGCAGGCCUAACACAUGCAAGUCGAGCGCCCCGCAAGGGGAGCGGCAGACGGGAGAGUAACACGUGGGAACGUACCCUUUGGUUCGGAACAACACAGGGAAACUUGUGCUAAUACCGGAUAAGCCCUUACGGGGAAAGAUUUAUUGCCAAAGGAUCGGCCCGCGUCUGAUUAGCUUGUUGGUGAGGUAACGGCUCACCAAGGCUACGAUCAGUAGCUGGUCUGAGAGGAUGAUCAGCCUCACUGGGACUGAGACACGGCCCAGACUCCUACGGGAGGCAGCAGUGGGGAAUAUUGGACAAUGGGCGCAAGCCUGAUCCAGCCAUGCCGCGUGGAUGAUGAAGGCCUUAGGGUUGUAAAGUCCUUUUAACGGGGAAGAUAAUGACGGUACCCGUAGAAUAAGCCCCGGCUAACUUCGUGCCAGCAGCCGC
This 444-nucleotide ribosomal RNA is filed under the name uncultured bacterium. Its description in RNAcentral is "SSU rRNA". It matches the Rfam family "Bacterial small subunit ribosomal RNA", at positions 26 to 518 of the family's 1533-position model. The record is from RNAcentral.